AAAGCACUUUCAGUAGGGAGGAAGGUAGUGUAGUUAACACCUGCAUUAUUUGACGUUACCUACAGAAGAAGCACCGGCUAACUCCGUGCCAGCAGCCGCGGUAAUACGGAGGGUGCGAGCGUUAAUCGGAAUUACUGGGCGUAAAGCGCAUGCAGGCGGCCUGUUAAGUCAGAUGUGAAAGACCCGGGGCGUUAACCUCGGAAUUGCAUUUGUAAACUAGGCAGGCUAGAGUCUUGUAGAGGGGGGUAGGAAUUUCUAGGUGUAGCGGUGAAAUAGCGUAGAGAUCUGAAGGAAUACCAGUGGCGAAGGCGGCCCCCCUCGGACAAAGACUGACGCUCAGAUGCGAAAGCGUGGGGAGCAAACAGGAUUAGAUACCCUGGUAG
RNAcentral lists this ribosomal RNA (383 nucleotides) under uncultured bacterium. RNAcentral describes it as "bacterial SSU rRNA". It matches the Rfam family "Bacterial small subunit ribosomal RNA", at positions 427 to 793 of the family's 1533-position model. The record is from RNAcentral.